UCCACUGUCCAGCCAAAUCCC
Molecule: microRNA, 21 nt
Filed under: Marchantia polymorpha subsp. ruderalis
Lineage: Eukaryota; Viridiplantae; Streptophyta; Marchantiopsida; Marchantiales; Marchantiaceae
Source: RNAcentral